Molecule: ribosomal RNA, 229 nt
Filed under: uncultured bacterium
Lineage: Bacteria
Description: partial 16S ribosomal RNA
Rfam family: Bacterial small subunit ribosomal RNA
Source: RNAcentral
UGGGCAACCUGCCCUCAGCUCUGGGAUAACUCCAAGAAAUUGGGGCUAAUACCGGAUAUGACUGCUGACCGCAUGGUCUGGUGGUGGAAAGAUUUAUCGUCUGGGGAUGGGCCCGCGGCCUAUCAGCUAGUUGGUGGGGUAGUAGCCUACCAAGGCGACGACGGGUAGCCGGCCUGAGAGGGUGACCGGCCACACUGGGACUGAGACACGGCCCAGACUCCUACGGAAG